CUGGCUCCCUGCAGGAGAAAAGCCUUUAUAUGUAAAAAGGAUGUAAAUAGGAUGUAAAUCCUAUGUAAAUAGUAUGGAGAGUAAACUCAAGCCCAUUCCUGGCCGGCUCCACUGUUGAAAGGAUGUGAACUGAGAAAGCAGGAUGGAAUGAGGCACAGGGACUUGUCUGCAAUGUUAUCAACAAAAGGGAGAUGAGAGAAGAUCACAGAAAAUUUGAUGGCUCCAACCAUCUGGCAUUCUUGAUAUUUUCUAAAAGGGUUUCAGUGUUGGUCUGUUCACACACAUCUAAAAUCCAGAGCAAAGAUGAACUGUCUGGUCACUAUGUCUGCCACUUUCACUGAUACAGCGUCACCUCAACAGCACCGGCUUAGAGAGGAAAGAACACUGCCCAGAAGGGAAGGAAGUGGACUUCUGGG
Long non-coding RNA from Bos taurus (domestic cattle), 416 nucleotides. The record is from Ensembl. NCBI's taxonomy places the organism in Eukaryota, Metazoa, Chordata, Mammalia, Artiodactyla, Bovidae.